UCCGAGUUGACCCCGGCAGUCUCCUACGAGUCCCCGGCAUUACCCGCUGGCAACAUAGGACAAGGGUUGCGCUCGUUGCGGGACUUAACCCAACAUCUCACGACACGAGCUGACAACAGCCAUGCAGCACCUGUGCAGGAUCUCCGAAGAGGGGCUCUCGUUUCUGAGAGCUUGCUCCUGCAUGUCAAGCCUAGGUAAGGUUCUUCACGUUGCGUCGAAUUAAACCACAUGCUCCACCGCUUGUGCGGACCCCCGCCAAUUCCUUUGAGUUUCAAUCUUGCGAUCGUACUUCCCAGGUGGGAUACUUAAUGCUUUCGCUCAGACACUUGCUGUGUAUCGCAAAUGUCGAGUAUCCAUAGUUUAGGGCGUGGACUAC
This 376-nucleotide unclassified non-coding RNA is filed under the name uncultured bacterium. RNAcentral describes it as "contains 16S-23S intergenic spacer region". The record is from RNAcentral.